GCCAGAUGAGCCGCCAGCGGCCUUCGUGUU
Molecule: non-coding RNA, 30 nt
Filed under: Actinoplanes sp. SE50/110
Lineage: Bacteria; Bacillati; Actinomycetota; Actinomycetes; Micromonosporales; Micromonosporaceae
Source: RNAcentral